AAAUACUUCCAAUAUUUGUGUAUUAUUUUAGAAAUAAUAUUUAAAUUUAAUAGAAUAUAAAAAUUUAAAUUAAUCCAUUAUAAUCAAAUUAUACAAUAUGAAACUGAAUACUUAAUUGCAUAACAUAAUUAUUCAUCACAAUGCUAUCUAGCUCCACAUACGUAGAUGACAUAGGUUCAGCUUCAGUAGGUUGCUUGAAGAGCAGAUUGAUAGUUGAUUUUAAAUUCAGGAAGUUGCUCUCUUAGAGGUGGAAAACUAGACAACCGUGCGUUUUCACAACCUUGAUUUGAUUUUGAAGAGGCACAGUUACACAUCCGUUAUAGAUUCUGUGCAGGGCAUUAGAGGUACUGGUAGCAUGAAGCAAUCACUGGUGCGGAGCUUAGGGACACAUGCAAACGCUUGGAAUCUGAGGAUUUAACUUUACUGUCUAAUACAUACCACAGAAAGGAGUUGUAAACAGAAUAACCUACCUGUACAUUAGUUAAUGCGCACACGAUUGGGAUUCCACAGGCAUAAUAAAGAACCUACUGGCUGCGAUCAAGACGCACAGCAGGGCUCAGAUGGAAUUGAGGAAUGUAACAGAUUGACGCCAUGUUGAGACAAUUGAAAACGUUCGCCAAGUCUGAACACUUGAAUGUGAUAUCUUAUCAAGCCAGAACUAAAAUCCAAAAACUGAUACCGUAUCCCGAUAAACAAUUUACCGCCACUAUAUAACACAAUCGACGCAUGUCCUUGGCUCUCGCUUACACAAUCCAGAUCCAUUUAACACUUCGUCAUGAGAGAUUCUUUUCGGUCCCUCUAUCAUCUGGGUUUCUACCGGAAUGUUGCAAUCGGCCAGACGCUGAAACCCCCCUGCUCACCUUCUUGUUCACACUCGGUAUCUCUAACUGCACAAGCUUACCAUAUAUGAGCCUGACUCCAGACUCGGUAUUCACCGCGUGCAGAUGCAACGCGAGACAUUUUCCAAAUGUAUUCUUCACUCUACAUAAACUGUCAUUUCUAUUUGAUGAGAAAUUUAUUAUGACCAUCUGUAUUCAAGAGAGAGAAUGACACAGCGGACAGAAUGGUGGGGGCUCAUGUACACUGAGAUUGGCACAUGUUUCCAUUGAACUCUACGCGUUUCUGUAUGCCUAGAGAUGUUCAUUAGCUUAUGGAGUACCAUGCACUACAGAACAUGAUGCAGAUGUUCUGCACAAGCUUUUAAAAAAAAUUCAAGGAUGGAAAGAUGGAAAUUCUCUCAACUACUAAAGGGUUUCUGAAGAUGUGGGUAUCUCACCCGUUUGCCCCCAGUGUUUAAAAGAGCGCAGAAUCUUGACGAUUUCUCGAGGUUGGUGAAGAAUCGAGGCUUCCUUCUUUCGGAAGGAAAAACCGGGCUAUAGGGGAAAUUGAGAGCCUCUUGGACCAGUGUUUGCUUAUACCACCCAUCUUUACUGAUCUGCAGCUGUAGGUAGGACGGGAUGCGCUUCUCAGCUUGCGCAAGAAUGAGGAUCUUCACAGGUGCAGGGGCAUACAACUGCUGCUGGUUGUAGAGGAGACUUCCUAGAAAUGUGUUCUCUGGAAUACGAGGCGCUUCGGGGUUGCUCUCCUGUCCAGUGUGGCCCACGAACAGGCCAAGUUUGUUGGCGAUGACAGGAAGUUGGCACUGGGAUUGGGCAGGGAGGUUGGGGAGGGCUAUGACCUUCACCACCAUGUCAUCCGCUUUAGAGAAAAGAUCGACUGCAACGGGAAAGACUGCAGGUCGCAUAUGAGGGUAGUCUCGGAGAGCUGGGGCGGGGAUGUUCCAAGCUCCUUCUUUGUCACAGACGACGACGAAGAAUCCCUCACAGACACGCUUGUGCAUGGUUGCGGCGAUGUCAUGUCCCCCCAACCAAUCCCCCAACCAUUCACAAAACAAGUUGUGCGGAAUGUUGGGCCCAAAUGUAAUCAGCACAGAGCACCUAAUGCUCCGUUCAUUCGCCUUCUCCAGUGCUGGAAUGGAAAAGAAAACGACACAAGGGUUACCAAGACUUGUAACGGGAUCCUUAACUUCUUUCCACCUUGUCUUCGUCACCACCAUGGUUAACUCUGUAGAGUUGUUCACUCAGUCCAAAACCUCAACCGUGUAUCCCACACUUGGACGGUCACCAAUUUCAGUCCAGCUAUCUUCACGGAAUCCUCGAACGCAUUCAAUAAGAGCUGUUCUCGGAAUCGCCUGUGAGAGUUUGAUACGGCUUCUCAAAAUUGCAGGUACGAUCCAAACUCCAUGAAGCUGUUGCUGCCGAACACGACAAGCCAGUGCCUAAAACUGCAAGUUUAGGGUUGCAGUUUAUUGAUAAUUCAACAUCACUAUCUGUAGGAGAUCAAAGAGAAGUUCUUAUGUCAACAGGGACUUCCACCAUCCGUUGAAACCAUUAUAAUUCCAUCCAUGGUUAUAAUUCCAUUUCCAAUUUCAGAAGCUUUGCGAGUAAGAUGUCGAGAAAGUAAAAUAGCUAUGGCGAUGAAGGCAGCUCUAAAGGCCUGACCAAAUUCCUACAAGUUGGUGUAAUGUAUGCGGUAUAUGCAAACUUCAUAUCCCCUGUGAACGGGUGGCAAAAUUUGAAAUAGCAAAGGUUGGCUGAGAUAGCAAAAGUUAUAAGACCUUUCCUAUAAUGAGCGGCUGUACUGGACGUUCAGUUGCACAAAACUUCACAAUUCUAAUCAGAAACCUUUGAGCGUCUCAGUUACAAAGUCUGUUGCCAAUUAUCCAGAUUUCAUUAAAAAAAUCCUAACGACACAAUCUCAAAUUCGAGUUAAUACGCAGAGCCCUUCAGCAUCAAGAAAGCAGCAUGUGCUCAGUAUCAAACAGUCGGCCCCGAAUAAGUUUGCAAAUUGUCCAACUCCUCAAAUAAUUCCAGAAGAUUCGCUUGUAAUGUGUGAAUUAUCUUUCUAUUCUCAACUUUACAUAUAGAAGCACAAAUUGAUCUUGAUCAUCAACCGCAUGUGACAUCCUCAUAAUUCAACCUCCAGGUAAGAUGAAAGAAAAGACACAUUUUUUACCCUCUACCAUUUCCCAGUACUUUUCAAUGGAUAUCCUGCCGGGACACACUUGGAUUGAAAGGGUUCAACCAGCAUCCAUUACAUGCUUCUGAGAAGAAUACUAUACAACCUGCUCCAUAGAGUUCUGGAAAAUCGGAAGUUGAAAUUCACUUCACAGCCUACCUGCCAAGUUAGAAGAUGAUUGAGUAUUAAAAAAAACGAAAAAAUACUAUUCCUGACUCCUGAAACAAAGUCCUACUGGCAUGCAAAUGGCAUCCAAAAUGUCUACAACUCACACGAAAAAUUGAUCACAAAAAAGGAACUUGUGAAUCACUUACACGAAAACAAGUACACAUCACGUCUGAUAUCAGACGACGAACACUAGUAUAAAAGAUUCAAUUUCCGACUCUGAAUAUACGAAUCCAACCCUUGCCAAAAAUUAAGAACGGCUGUCUUGUCUUGAUGUCGCUUGUGCUUGCUAAGCUGCCAUAAAGAACAAAAGACAUCAAUAAGCGGAAAGUUAAUGCAUUUCUGGCAUCGAGAGAAAUUACCUAUCCAGUACUGUUACCAAAUAUCAAAAGUAGAUAAACUCUAGAAUCAUGCAAAGGACAAUCCCCUCGAUGCUCUUCAACGUCUAUUUCAGAAGUUAAGUAGGGCAUUUUACUCACAUUGAUAAUCUUAACAUUCCACUGCAUAACUUGUUUCGCUGAUUCCACACUAUCAUCUUCAAAUCGCAGAAAGACUCCCAUGACUGGCAAUGUGCAACACUCAAAUUAGUACGAUUCUGUGAGUCUUUGAGCAACACCGCAAUGAACGAAGUUCGUGCCAUAAAGAAGACCACUAAAAGUAGCGCUCAUACUACAGGGCUCGUACAAUACAAUGUCUUUUGUUUUAAGAUACAAAGCUGGAAAACUCUUACAUUUGUUGAAAAUCUCUACUCGAUCACUGAAUGGCCAACCCUUGAAUUGCCAAUCUUUUCCCAACACGAAUAUAGCCACGACCCGCUCCCAAUCCUUAGAAGUGAGUCCUUGAACCUUGUCUCUAACUUCAUAGGGAACUGGCCGCUCCCUGCCCAUCUUCCGCUGAACAAAUACAAUAUCCACUUUCUUCGCCAUACCUUUAACUUUGACCUCGGGAGAAACGUACACGCCAUCUUCGAGGAACUCCUUCACAUUGAACGUGUUCAGAAGAGUCUGUGACGCGCUCGGAACAAUUAUUAUUGGAGGACCAUCAGGUUUAGUUUUCACAUUGGGUCUAUGAUGUGGAUGGUGGGGAGGACGCUGAGAAGCCUUCGAAUCAGGUUUCAUUCUUGCUGCGUCUUUUUUCUUUGAAUCCGAAAUGUACGACUGAGAAGGAUUUAUUCCCAACUCUUCAGCAACAUCUGUUCCCAAGUGUUCUUUCCAAAACCGUUUCUCCUCUACAUUAGCGUAUCGAUUGGCAGAGUUUGGAGCAGGCAUCAGUCCAUCAGGUCCUUUUCCUAAAUCCUUCCUUACAUCAACGUCUGGUAUUUUCUUGUCAUCAUCUCUCUUGGUUAGCAGAGAGGAUAAAACACUCUCAAAACUUUUGUUAUGGCAAAGAAGGAUUGUCUCACGAUCUCUGACAGGCCAUUCACGCUCCCGAAUGAUAUUAAUUACUGAUGCCCCGUCAUCGCAAAACUGUGUCUCCAUCACAUUCUGUCCUUCCCAAGGCUGAGCUCGAAAUUUCUUAGCAGCAUGAUGAUCUACGUCGUCCACUCCUACGACCUCGGGCUCUUCGUCGUGAGCAUGCUUCCCUCCUGCCCAUUCAUUGAUGCUAGCUGGAGCUGCUGUAGGUGGAAGAAGCUCAAUUGCAUCAUUCGUAGCAACUCUUCCCUCCAAGUAAUCUAGGAGAGGCUUCCUGUCAGUGAAGGUUGCAAAUUGGAGUUUCGCUGCGCGGGCUGCAUUCAUGUAAUCAGUGUGCUUCAUAUGUAUGUUUUUCACGAAAAACACAAGAGAGUCCAACGUGUAGAAACCUCCUUGCUUCGACCUGUAUGCAGUCUCGAUGUUCUUGCGGAAACUGUAGUCGUCACCAAAAUUAUAUACAUCUCCAACCAGCUUCACCUGGUCCAAUUCACCGCGGAUAGUGUAAUCUCGAAGAACACUCAGAGGAUCCAUUGCUACAGACCUUCAAACAAUCCCGGUCAACUCAACGUUUCGACUUCCUCUUGAAAACUCAACCCUCGUCAAAAACCCUAAUCUUAUAUAACUCGAUCACCGCUACCAGCAACAGCGCUAACUGCAGAAAUCUGUCGCAGCACAAUUUGCUAACAACCAGUGAGCUAGGAAGUAUGAAGCACCCGAAAAAACCACCGACGAAGAAAGUAACAAACGAACAGCCCGCCCAGAUUAAUCGCCGAAACUCUCAACCGUACGCGAAACGGCAAAAAUCAACUGUAGAAUCCAAACAGGCCAUCUGCUCCACUGAAGACUUGGGAAAUUCUCUUCCACAGCACUAACACGCAAACACGACUUAAUAAAGCUCCUUGUCCAGCAACACUCGUCAUUACUCGCUACCAGGGACUUCCAAAGACAAAUCCUUCGCCCAACUCGGAAUGAAAACUUCCGGACAAAUCCGAAACGGCACCUUUAAACUCACGAAAAAUAACUAAAAAGCGCCGGUCUAUCUCGAGGCUCACAUCCAAACAAAAAGUGCCAUAACACACCUCGAGUAGUCUAAAGCAUCCCACCAGGGACCGCCAUAGCUGCUAACACAGAGCUUCAACACGCGCGUGAAGGGAGACGCAAAUUCAAUUCAGGGCUCUUACGUGGUGAAGUGUAUGUACCUAUAUCAAGGGCAAAACAUCAACCGGGUAUGAAAAAACUGGGUAACAAUAGAAAAAAGGAUAUCAAUUCAUGCAGUUAUAUAAUUUUGGUUUCACGCUGAGAAUUUUUUUGCAUGAGUUACACUGCUUCACAAUGAACAGCUUCAGAGGCACAGGAACUUGAGCAGCUUCGGCAGAGGACUCGAGUGCUUGAGAUAAUAUAGAAUCAUAAAAUAUACACAGAUAAGAAUAUAUUAAAUUUUGGUAUUAAAGUAAUAAAUUUAACAAUAUUCAUGAUUUAAAAUCAAAACUACUUAUUUUUUGCUAGGUGUAUAUGGGGGGUGUACACCUAAUGGUUCACAACUUUUUUUUUGUAUUUUGUGGAAAGCUGAUCAAAUUUGGUAGAAUUACUCCUCUUAAAAUGUUGAUUUCUUUUGGGGUCUACAUAAAAUACAGGAUUAUAACUUCAAGUAUCCAACAGAGUCAAUUGCAUUUCAGGAUCAUAAUAUUUGAGAACUUGUUUGGAUAAAUUGUCUAACUAAUAAGAGUUUACAGCUUAUUUAUGCCUAAAGGAUUAUGCUAGGACAAUAAACAUGAAUAUUAUGUUGGAUUGAACUCCUUGGUAAACCACAAAUAGGGAGUACUUUAUCAUCUCUCAUAAAUAGAGACCUACAUCUAUUAGUAAUUGAUAAGUAAAAUCUUUCAAUAUAAGAUGUGUUUUUUUAUUGUAUAUCACAAUAAGAUAAUACACUUUAUUUUAUAAUUGUUCUCUCAUAGUAUCAUUGCAAGCUUGGUCUUGAGAAUUUGUUGAAUAUUCCAAUUAUCUUUAUUUUUCUUACAUCUUUUUGUUUUUAGAAAUAGAAUAGUCAACUAUUUAUAUUUCUCUUUUGGAUGUGAGCCCAAACUCUCUACUAUUAUAUUAUUAUAGUACUUCAGUAAAAUCCACGAUAGAUUAAGUUAAUGCAUUUAAUAGAAUUAAUGAGCUAUUAGAAUCCUAAGAGGAAUGGAUAUAAUAGUAUCUAGAGACGCAAUACUGUUAAGACCUUCAAAAUUCAAUUUGUGGGAUUCCACUUUGUAAAGCAACUUCAAGCAAAUGAUCUAUGGGAUGUCAUUGAAGAUCCACUUUUAGCAUCAAAAACCUCCAGUGCUAAAUCAAGUGAUCAAAGUACUUUUCUCAAGUCAUCUAGGCCAUAUCUAGUCCCACAAUAGCUUCUCCUUUUAUCAAUAAUACACUUAGAUAGAAGCAAAUACGUAUGAAAUCUUAUAUUAAAUUCUUGAUCUAACUCGAGAUACAAGUAUAUAUUGAAGACAUUUCACAUCCAAGAGCCCCUUAGAAUUGUCUAGAAUCGAUAUAUCAUAUUAAUAAGAUUAUUGAUAUCAUGCUAGUAGUCAAAAAAUGGUACACACUCCAUAUGAUCAAGUAUAUGGAUGUCUCCAUGUUCAUCACUAAAAUAUAAGAAAUUCAAUGAGAGAUAAAUACUAUCAAUCAGUGGCAAUCUUAUGCCAUUAUUGUUCAUUGUGUACAAAAAAAAAUUAUCCACCAAAUUUCAGCAUCUAGUGUGAUAAAUCUAGAAUGAGAGAAACAUUUCAUUGCUAGAAGAAUUAAGUGCAAGACUUCACAACAAGAAAAACUUUGUAUCAUUAUAAAAAGAUGAAUCUAAUGAAGUCCUCAUGAUGAAGAUUUGAAAUGUAGUACAAUGUCGAUACAAAUCUUAGUACAUCACCUAUGGUUUUAGACCAUCAAGACAUUUCUAAGUUCCCAUUAAAAUUAACAAUAAACUAAUCCAAAUGAUUUUUUUUGUAAUACAUGCAAGAAAUAAGGAUAUACUUCAAUUCUAGUGCCUUCGCAUAUUUUUUAGGAAACAAAAGUUUAUUUUAAUUCUUAGAUCCACCUCAUGCCAACUUUGUGAUUUCAAUAGGACAAAAAGUAUAUGUAAUUAAAGGCUAAGAUCUUGCUCAAGUAUUAUUUCUAUCUAGUGAAAUAAAAACCCUUAGACACAUUCAAUAUGUGUUGGGCCUGUAUCAAAAUAUUGUCUCAAUAGAAAAGUUCACCAACUCUAAGAAUGUAGCCUUAUUUUAUUUAUUCAUAUGCUUAGUUUUUAUUAGAAAUAAAUUCUACAAAGUAGUAGCUUUAAAAAAAAAAAAACAAACAAACAAACAAACAAAUAAACAAAUAAUAGAUUGUAUAAACUCAUAGCCAUGCAAAAUCUUUAGCUUAAAAAUCUGAAAUUCAUUAAUACAAUCAAGACAUAAUCCAAGAGAAAAACUCUAGUAGAAAUUUGACAAAUUCCAUCUUUUUUUUCCAACUAUAACAUUAUAAGCUGAGACUUAUAACCAUCCUAGCUUCACUUUAUUAAACAACCAUAAUCUAGCUAUUGGAAUACCAUAUUUUUUUUUAUAGUAUUUCAAUUUUGUGAUGCUUGCCAACAUGGCAAGUAAACUCAAAAAUACUUUUCAAAAAAAUUGUUCUUUUAUGUCUUUUUACUACUUUCUCUUAUCUAUACUAGCUUAUGUGGCAAACUAUUUAUAUCUAUGUUAAAAAAAUUAAAUGUUUCUUACUAUUUAUUAAUAUCUUCAGCAAAUAUUCUUGAAUAUAAUUUCUACAAAGUAAGGGCAAAGUUCUAGAUCAAUUCAAGCAAUUCAAUGCUAUGAUCAAAUGACAAAUAUAGCAAAAAAUCCUUACUUUAUGAUCUAAUAAAAAAUGAGAAUUCAUAUCUUAGGAUUUUAAUCAGUACCUCCAUGCACAUAGAAUCAAUAAAAAGUUAACCAUUGUUCAAACACUCUUUUAAAAUAAUAUCUUAGAAUCUAAAAAUAAGAUAAUCUUAAAUAUGAUUUAUACCAUGUUGUCAAGAAAAGAAUCCCAUAAAAGUAAAUUAACAAAUAAGACUUUUUUCAUAGAAGUAUGGUAUAAUAGAAAUAUAUAUAUAUAUAUAUAUUAAAAAAAACUAAAAUAGCUAUUACCAAAAGUCAAGAAAACUAAAGACUCUUGAAUCUGGACUCAAGCAAAAAAAGAAUAUACAAUAGUGAAAAGGACUUCACUUUUGCUUCUAUAUAUACUAUCUACCUAUGAGCUAUGUAGCAACAUUGUAUAGGUCCUUUGACAUGUGUUGACUUUAUAAGCCAUAUGUCUUAACUUGCAAGCAAGUUUUUUAUGUUUGUGCCACAUAAUUAGUUUGUUCAAUAAGCUAUCCAUAUAUGUGAUAUGUUGUCAUGUUGUGGUUCGUCUACCAUGUGAAAAUAAUGUGAUUAUAUGUUUAAUUUAUAAUUUACUUAGUAACAUGGUGAGAGCCAUGUUACUGGAUUUUAGUUGAUUGUAGAGUGUGGUUAAAUUACUACUUUAAAAUGAGGUUGAUUAAAAGAAUUACUAUUAGAAUUUUUUUAACUUUAUUUUCUUUUGAUAGUGGCUUUUGAGAUUGAUUUUGUUGAUAGUAACUUUAAAUAUUUAGAGUCACAUAUAUGAGACAUUAGUGACCCUUGAAGUCUUAUUUUGGUUCUUUAAUUUAGUGUUUAGAGCAUAUAUUGAGUAAAUCUUAUAAAGAAAAGAAUUGGAGAGAGGUUUUGGUAGUAAAAAGAAAGUUUAGGGCAUCCAUAUAGAUGAAUGGACAUGGAUGAUAAAAAUCUUUAUUCCUAUUGAUCAAAAACCAUUACCAAUGGGCUUUGAGGAGGCUAUCCGUGGCCAUAUUUGAGAUUAGGGUUAGUUUUUUGGAGGCAUUUGAGCUUUGGAGGCUAAGGUCAGUAAGUUUAGAUUUUUGGCUAUGGUUUUGGUGCAAAUUUUGUGUGAUUUGGAGUUUAUAUGAAAGAAAUAUGGAUGCUCAAAGUUAGUGUGUUGAUUUUGUACCUACUAUCAUUCUUUUGGAUAUAAUGUAUGCGUAUAGAAAGCAACUGAGGAUCUGCAAUUGGAGUUGGAGAAGGCUCUCUUUUCGCUACACUUUUGGUAUACUGUUUGAUGGAUUUUAAAUUUGAGUGAAGGAGAUAUUGGAGGUUGAAGUCAGUGCUUGCAAAUCUAAAGGCAAUAAGUGACCUGAAUUAAUAGUGGUUGUGUUUUGAACUUUAUCUUGUGCAAUUUGACAAGAUUUUGGCUAAGAAUUUCCAAAAAUAAGUAUUUUCAUAUAAUCAAACUUUUUAUAUAAGUUUUUUGGCAUUUGGAUUUUGAAUUUGUGAUAUAAAAAGAAAAUAGUACUUAGGUGCUUGUGAAUUAGGAUUUUAGAGCACCUUCUAGGAUUUUUAAGAUAUCAAACGAUCGGUAGCAAAUUUACAAUUGAAUUUUUGUAAAAUAAAGCUUAAGGAUGAAUUCUAUAAUAUCUGUGAAUUUGACAAAAUCUGAACGGUUGGAACAAGAGAUAUGAAUUUAUAAAGUUUAAGAAGAAGAAAUCCUUUGUGAGAAUAUUAUAUUUUGAAGGAAUUUUAUUAUAACUUGAGCAUUUUAUACAAAGUUAAGGAGUAUUUUGGAAGCCAAGACUUUAUAUAUAUGUUAAAGAUGGAUAUAUAGAGCUAAAGUUGAAUUUUUGUAUAAAGAUAAGCUUUUGAGAGAACAUUGUGGAUUUCCUUUGAAGUUAUUGAAAAUCUAAUCUACCAACAGAUGGUUAGCUAUGAUUUGAUAUAGCCAAGAAUGUUAGAAAAUUUCUAGAUAUUUUAAAAAGCCUUAUAUAUAAACCAUCUUAAAUAUAAAAGAAUUUAUUAGUAUAAUAUCUUUUUGAUAUUAUAGUAUUUAUUUCUCUUCUAUUUUUAAGGUUAAAUAACUUAUUGGAGCUUGGCCAAUAAGUUAAAACUAAACUCUCUAGAGCUAGAUACCUAAUGUAUUUCCAAAUAGAAAACCACAUAAUACAACAAUAUGUUAGAAAUUUGAUCAAGUUUCUAAUCUAAAAACCAAUUAUAAAUACAUAUAAAGUCAAAAUUGUGUCCAUAAAGCUUUUAAAAAGCUUUUUUAGAAGAUAUUAUGAAAUUAAUCUAUUUUUUCAUUUUUAUCUACUUCUAUAUGAUUAUAUAGAUAAUUAUUAGAAUAAAUAUGUAUAUUUAUGACAAUAUGACUAAGACAUAAUCCUCCUUCUAGAAAUGAAUCCCACAAAGAAAAAUCAUCAUAUUUUACAAAAAUCUAAGAUGCGACAAAUUAUGUUUGUCACAUAUUAUAAUCCUUAUUCUUUAUGAAGAUGAUUGAUGGAUCUUCUCAACCAUUAAUAUUGUUCUACACCAAGGCAAAAAAAUCACCCUAUUAUUUGAUCAUUGUUAAGGCCUUCAUAAUUUCCUUCAAAUAAAAUAUUUGAAACACCAUCUAAUGAAAUUAUCAAACAUUGGAAAUCUCUUUCAAGAUUGAGAUAUCAAACA
Molecule: long non-coding RNA, 11095 nt
Filed under: Physcomitrium patens
Lineage: Eukaryota; Viridiplantae; Streptophyta; Bryopsida; Funariales; Funariaceae
Description: long non-coding RNA (PPAT_LNC004283)
Source: RNAcentral